UACGUAGGGUGCGAGCGUUGUCCGGAAUUAUUGGGCGUAAAGGGCUCGUAGGCGGUUUGUCGCGUCGGGAGUGAAAACCCAGGGCUUAACCCUGGGCUGGCUUCCGAUACGGGCAGACUAGAGGUAUGCAGGGGAGAACGGAAUUCCUGGUGUAGCGGUGAAAUGCGUAGAUAUCUGGAGGAACACCGGUGGCGAAGGCGGCAUCCUGGACCAACACUGACGCUGAGUGAGCGAAAGCCAGGGGAGCAAACGGG
This 254-nucleotide ribosomal RNA is filed under the name uncultured bacterium. Its description in RNAcentral is "partial 16S ribosomal RNA". It matches the Rfam family "Bacterial small subunit ribosomal RNA", at positions 524 to 776 of the family's 1533-position model. The record is from RNAcentral.